UGACUAAACAAUCAAGUCCAAUUAAUUCCUAAGGUUGAACUGCCGGUUUGUAAUGCGUAAAGUAAAUAAAACAGUAAAAACACAACUCACGAUAUGAUGACGGAGAAACCCCAACAUGGGUAAAACUCCGGGACCAAGCCAGUGACUUUCACUAUUCCAAUUCAAUAAGUACAAGUUCUUAAACUCUGUACCCAAUCAGACCAACUGUUCCAGUCUCACGAUCUACCGCCGUAGAUACAACUAGUCUCCUACUAGAUUUUUCGAUCUACCUCCUGCAAUCCAAUCUGUUGUCCACUACAGCCUCCUGGUUCUUAGCUGAUUGUAUUACCAAGUGGAAUUUCAAGAACCGUCUGUUCUUGUCCAAUUCACUGCGCUUGACGUCCACCUCUCUCAAUCCCCAAUGAGAGAGUCCGCUCCUCAAAAGAUUAAGGAACUACGGUGUUCUGAAUUAUGGAUUUGAUAUUUUCCAAAACACAGUUGCUAGAUAACUAGAGUGAUAUAGAUGGAAUCACCAAUUAAUUUCUCCUUGGAUCACUUCAAUAAUAAUAUGUAUAUGUUUCUCUAUUUUUCUCCAACAGCCGCCCACUAUUUGUUAAUUAAGAAGUCCAAUUCCCAGCCUCCUUUGCCUGCUUUCAGUUCCAGUAAGUAUAUCUCUUUCCACCUUGGAACUUCAAUGUUUGACUACCAAAAUGGGACUCCAAUUCUCUUCCAACUUUCGGCUUUCUGUGGGUGUAUAUAUAUGUAUUUAAUUCAACUUUGCAACCCACUAAUUCUUUCCCAGCAGCCGACUGGCUUUAUCAAUUCAACCUCUCAAUUUUCGUGUUUGUAUGUAGAUAUAUCUUCAAUAGCCAGCACCUUGUCUUCCUCAAUUCCUG
This 875-nucleotide long non-coding RNA is filed under the name Olea europaea subsp. europaea. Lineage: Eukaryota; Viridiplantae; Streptophyta; Magnoliopsida; Lamiales; Oleaceae. The record is from RNAcentral.